RNAcentral lists this ribosomal RNA (432 nucleotides) under uncultured bacterium. RNAcentral's name for it is "partial 16S ribosomal RNA". It matches the Rfam family "Bacterial small subunit ribosomal RNA", at positions 29 to 506 of the family's 1533-position model. The record is from RNAcentral.
AACGAACGCUGGCGGCAUGCCUAACACAUGCCAGUCGAACGAGACCUUCGGGUCUAGUGGCGCACGGGUGCGUAACGCGUGGGAACCUGCCCUUAGGUUCGGAAUAACUCCCCGAAAGGGGUGCUAAUACCGGAUAAUGUCUUCGGACCAAAGAUUUAUCGCCUUUGGAUGGGCCCGCGUUGGAUUAGCUAGUUGGUAGGGUAAAAGCCUACCAAGGCGACGAUCCGUAGCUGGUCUGAGAGGAUGAUCAGCCACACUGGGACUGAGACACGGCCCAGACUCCUACGGGAGGCAGCAGUGGGGAAUAUUGGACAAUGGGCGAAAGCCUGAUCCAGCAAGGCCGCGUGAGUGAUGAAGGCCUUAGGGUUGUAAAGCUCUUUUACCCGGGAUGAUAAUGACAGGACCGGGAGAAUAAGCGCCGGCUAACUCCGU